This 244-nucleotide ribosomal RNA is filed under the name uncultured bacterium. RNAcentral describes it as "partial 16S ribosomal RNA". It matches the Rfam family "Bacterial small subunit ribosomal RNA", at positions 89 to 334 of the family's 1533-position model. The record is from RNAcentral.
UGGCGACCGGCGCACGGGUGAGUAACGCGUAUCCAACCUUCCUACACUCAGGGAUAGCCUUUCGAAAGAAAGAUUAAUACCUGAUAGUAUGGUGAGAUUGCAUGAUAACACCAUUAAAGAUUCAUUGGUAAACGAUGGGGAUGCGUUCCAUUAGGUAGUAGGCGGGGUAACGGCCCACCUAGCCAACGAUGGAUAGGGGUUCUGAGAGGAAGGUCCCCCACAUUGGAACUGAGACACGGUCCAA